This 825-nucleotide ribosomal RNA is filed under the name Triticum aestivum (bread wheat). RNAcentral's name for it is "partial small subunit ribosomal RNA". The record is from RNAcentral. Lineage: Eukaryota; Viridiplantae; Streptophyta; Magnoliopsida; Poales; Poaceae.
AUGUUGCCUAAAAAGCAUCCAUCUGGUCAUCAGAAAAGAACUAACAAGAAACGAGUACAGAAGUUGAUUCGAUCUCAGAGAGGGGCUAUGAAUAAAUUCGUGUUGUGGAAGGAUACUGAUAUGAAUUUUACGCAAUUAUAUAUCACCAAUGGCGAACAACCAGAUCAGACUGAGAAUGCAGUUGGGGGAAAUUGUGCCGAUGUUGAUGCCAAUCAGAACACCCGAAAUUUUAGUGGCCAUGGAAACAUAGAUGAGCAGGCUUCUUCUUUUGAUAUUUAUGAUCCUAGAACUUGGAAUAUUCUUGACAAUAAAUCAAGAGAUAUUCUCAUUGAAAAAGGACCUACAAGGGAGUACAAUCCUGUGUUUCCCGUGGAUAAGAAAGGCAGGCAUUUUUCAUAUGCUUACUACUCAAGACAGCUAAGGAAUGGUGAGGCCAGUGAUCGGAGGUGGUUAGUGUACUCUAAACAUGUGAAUAAAGUUCAUUGUUUUUGCUGCAAAUUGUUCAAAUCUGAAAACAGCAAAAGUUUGCUAGCAUCUGAGGGAUUGAUGGAUUGGAAACAUCUUAGUGAAAAGCUGAAAUUACAUGAGAACGGUGCUGAGCAUAUCACUAACAUGAAUACUUGGAAUGAGGUAAGGUUGAGGCUAAGUAAGAAGGAAACAAUUGAUAGAGAUUUGCAAGAAGAGAUUGCAAGGGAGAAGAAGCGCUGGAGACAAGUUUUAAUUAGAAUUGUUGCUGCUGUGAAAUUUCUUGCUAAACAUAAUUUGGCUUUUCGAGGAGCAAAUGAGAAAUUAUAUCAAGAUACAAUGGGAACUUUUUGGGAGUAA